This 525-nucleotide ribosomal RNA is filed under the name uncultured bacterium. RNAcentral's name for it is "bacterial SSU rRNA". It matches the Rfam family "Bacterial small subunit ribosomal RNA", at positions 28 to 545 of the family's 1533-position model. The record is from RNAcentral.
GAUGAACGCUGGCGGCGUGCCUAAUACAUGCAAGUCGGACGGAUGUAGCAAUACAUUAGUGGCGAACGGGUGAGUAACACGUAGGUGACCUGCCCUAAAGAGGGGAAUACCACUUCGAAAGGAGUGACAAAACCGCAUAAACUUAUAGAGAUCAGAAGGCUAUAAGGAAAAGAGCGAUCUACUUUAGGAGGGGCCUGCGGCCCAUCAGCUAGUUGGUAGAGGUAACGGCCUACCAAGGCGAAGACGGGUAGGGGACCUGAGAGGGUGAUCCCCCACAAUGGAACUGAAACACGGUCCAUACACCUGCGGGUGGCAGCAGUAGGGAAUAUUGCUUAAUGGGCGAAAGCCUGAAGCAGCAACGCCGCGUGGACGAAGAAGGCCUUCGGGUUGUAAAGUUCUUUUAUAUGGGAUGAGGAAGGACAGUACCAUAUGAAUAAGUCUCGGCUAACUACGUGCCAGCAGCCGCCGUAAAGUAAACGUACGUACGUCGUCGUAGACGGCGGCGUCGGACGAACGGCGACUAGU